GAAAAUUAUGUGUUUACGUUUUU
Molecule: small nuclear RNA, 23 nt
Filed under: Arabidopsis thaliana (thale cress)
Lineage: Eukaryota; Viridiplantae; Streptophyta; Magnoliopsida; Brassicales; Brassicaceae
Description: snRNA_10499
Source: RNAcentral